This 440-nucleotide ribosomal RNA is filed under the name uncultured bacterium. Its description in RNAcentral is "partial 16S ribosomal RNA". It matches the Rfam family "Bacterial small subunit ribosomal RNA", at positions 338 to 795 of the family's 1533-position model. The record is from RNAcentral.
CCUACGGGAGGCAGCAGUGGGGAAUAUUGCACAAUGGGGGAAACCCUGAUGCAGCGACGCCGCGUGAGUGAGGAAGUAUUUCGGUAUGUAAAGCUCUAUCAGCAGGGAAGAAAAUGACGGUACCUGACUAAGAAGCCCCGGCUAACUACGUGCCAGCAGCAGCGGUAAUACGUAGGGGGCAAGCGUUAUCCGGAUUUACUGGGUGUAAAGGGAGCGUAGACGGCUAAUCAAGUCAGAAGUGAAAACCCGGGGCUCAACCUUGGGACUGCUUUUGAAACUGAGUAGCUAGAGUGCAGGAGAGGUAAGCGGAAUUCCUAGUGUAGCGGUGAAAUGCGUAGAUAUUAGGAGGAACACCAGUGGCGAAGGCGGCUUACUGGACUGUAACUGACGUUGAGGCUCGAAAGCGUGGGGAGCAAACAGGAUUAGAUACCCUGGUAGUC